Molecule: ribosomal RNA, 598 nt
Filed under: uncultured freshwater bacterium
Lineage: Bacteria
Description: bacterial SSU rRNA
Rfam family: Bacterial small subunit ribosomal RNA
Source: RNAcentral
AGAGUUUGAUCCUGGCUCAGGAUGAACGCUAGCGGCAGGCUUAAUACAUGCAAGUCGAGGGGUAGCAUGAUUGUAGCAAUACAAUUGAUGACGACCGGCAAACGGGUGCGGAACACGUACACAACCUUCCUACAAGUGGGGAAUAGCCCAGAGAAAUUUGGAUUAAUACCCCGUAACAUAGCGAUGUGGCAUCACAUUGCUAUUAUAGCUUCGGCGCUUGUUGAUGGGUGUGCGGCUGAUUAGAUAGUUGGCGGGGUAACGGCCCACCAAGUCUACGAUCAGUAGCUGAUGUGAGAGCAUGAUCAGCCACACGGGCACUGAGACACGGGCCCGACUCCUACGGGAGGCAGCAGUAAGGAAUAUUGGACAAUGGACGCAAGUCUGAUCCAGCCAUGCCGCGUGAAGGAUUAAGGUCCUCUGGAUUGUAAACUUCUUUUAUAAGGGACGAAAAAAGGUCUUUCUAGAUCGUCUGACGGUACCUUAUGAAUAAGCACCGGCUAACUCCGUGCCAGCAGCCGCGGUAAUACGGAGGGUGCAAGCGUUAUCCGGAUUCACUGGGUUUAAAGGGUGCGUAGGCGGGCAGGUAAGUCAGUGGUGA